CUCACGUUGCAAUAUAGUUUAUAUUUGCUGGAAUACAAUUAUUUAAAGAUGUUCUUGGACCCUGAUGAUGGACGAUGAUAUUAUAAAACUAUUGACCUUGUUUCCCCAACUACCCAACAUCUGUGGUCACUGACGGACAGGAACAGAAACCCUCUCCAGAACACGUGUCAUCACGUUUGAUGCAGAUGCAGCUGACAUGGUGAGAAUGUCCAGUGUGGCUUCAG
Melanotaenia boesemani (Boeseman's rainbowfish) is the source of this 224-nucleotide long non-coding RNA. RefSeq lists it as uncharacterized. Lineage: Eukaryota; Metazoa; Chordata; Actinopteri; Atheriniformes; Melanotaeniidae. The transcript has 3 exons. The record is from RefSeq and is a predicted model, not a curated record.